This 73-nucleotide transfer RNA is filed under the name Aerococcaceae bacterium. Its description in RNAcentral is "tRNA-Thr(ggt)". It matches the Rfam family "tRNA". Rfam says of the family: Transfer RNA (tRNA) molecules are approximately 80 nucleotides in length. The record is from RNAcentral. RNAcentral also lists the same sequence under 1 other name. Lineage: Bacteria; Bacillati; Bacillota; Bacilli; Lactobacillales; Aerococcaceae.
GCCGCUUUAGCUCAGUAGGUAGAGCACUUCCAUGGUAAGGAAAAGGUCGCCGGUUCGAUUCCGGCAAGUGGCU